Molecule: ribosomal RNA, 843 nt
Filed under: uncultured bacterium
Lineage: Bacteria
Description: bacterial SSU rRNA
Rfam family: Bacterial small subunit ribosomal RNA
Source: RNAcentral
AUUGAACGCUGGCGGAAUGCUUUACACAUGCAAGUCGAACGGCAGCACGGGUGCUUGCACCUGGUGGCGAGUGGCGAACGGGUGAGUAAUGCGUCGGAACGUACCGAGUAAUGGGGGAUAACGCAGCGAAAGUUGUGCUAAUACCGCAUACGCCCUGAGGGGGAAAGUGGGGGACCGCAAGGCCUCACGUUAUUCGAGCGGCCGACGUCUGAUUAGCUAGUUGGUGGGGUAAAGGCCUACCAAGGCGACGAUCAGUAGCGGGUCUGAGAGGAUGAUCCGCCACACUGGGACUGAGACACGGCCCAGACUCCUACGGGAGGCAGCAGUGGGGAAUUUUGGACAAUGGGCGCAAGCCUGAUCCAGCCAUUCCGCGUGAGUGAAGAAGGCCUUCGGGUUGUAAAGCUCUUUCGGCAGGAACGAAACGGCGGGCUCUAACAUAGCCUGUUACUGACGGUACCUGCAGAAGAAGCACCGGCUAACUACGUGCCAGCAGCCGCGGUAAUACGUAGGGUGCGAGCGUUAAUCGGAAUUACUGGGCGUAAAGCGUGCGCAGGCGGAUUGUUAAGCAAGACGUGAAAUCCCCGGGCUUAACCUGGGAAUGGCGUUUUGAACUGGCAGUCUAGAGUGCGUCAGAGGGGGGUGGAAUUCCACGUGUAGCAGUGAAAUGCGUAGAGAUGUGGAGGAACACCGAUGGCGAAGGCAGCCCCCUGGGAUGACACUGACGCUCAUGUACUAAAGCGUGGGUAGCAAACAGGAUUAGAUACCCUGGUAGUCCACGCCCUAAACGAUGUCAACUGGUUGUUGGGGGAGUGAAAUCCCUUAGUAACGAAGCUAACGCGUGAA